RNAcentral lists this ribosomal RNA (464 nucleotides) under uncultured bacterium. Its description in RNAcentral is "bacterial SSU rRNA". It matches the Rfam family "Bacterial small subunit ribosomal RNA", at positions 330 to 792 of the family's 1533-position model. The record is from RNAcentral.
UCCAGACUCCUACGGGAGGCAGCAGUGAGGAAUAUUGGUCAAUGGCCGGAAGGCUGAACCAGCCAAGCCGCGUGAGGGAUGAAGGUACAGAGUAUCGUAAACCUCUUUUGUCAGGGAACAAAGGCGGGGACGUGUCCCCGGAUGAGUGUACCUGAAGAAAAAGCAUCGGCUAACUCCGUGCCAGCAGCCGCGGUAAUACGGAGGAUGCGAGCGUUAUCCGGAUUUAUUGGGUUUAAAGGGUGCGUAGGCGGACGCUUAAGUCAGCGGUAAAAUUGCGGGGCUCAACCCCGUACUGCCGUUGAAACUGCAUCCCUUGAGUGCGCGAGAAGUAUGCGGAAUGCGUGGUGUAGCGGUGAAAUGCAUAGAUAUCACGCAGAACUCCGAUUGCGAAGGCAGCAUACCGGCGCGCAACUGACGCUCAUGCACGAAAGCGUGGGUAUCGAACAGGAUUAGAUACCCGGGUA